This 253-nucleotide ribosomal RNA is filed under the name uncultured bacterium. RNAcentral's name for it is "partial 16S ribosomal RNA". It matches the Rfam family "Bacterial small subunit ribosomal RNA", at positions 524 to 776 of the family's 1533-position model. The record is from RNAcentral.
UACGUAGGGUGCAAGCGUUAAUCGGAAUUACUGGGCGUAAAGCGUGCGCAGGCGGUUAUGCAAGUCAGAUGUGAAAUCCCCGGGCUCAACCUGGGAACUGCAUUUGUGACUGCAUGGCUGGAGUGCGGCAGAGGGGGAUGGAAUUCCGCGUGUAGCAGUGAAAUGCGUAGAUAUGCGGAGGAACACCGAUGGCGAAGGCAAUCCCCUGGGCCUGCACUGACGCUCAUGCACGAAAGCGUGGGGAGCAAACAGG